Molecule: long non-coding RNA, 374 nt
Filed under: Mytilus galloprovincialis (Mediterranean mussel)
Lineage: Eukaryota; Metazoa; Mollusca; Bivalvia; Mytilida; Mytilidae
Source: RNAcentral
CGGGCUUCUCUUGAACUGAAUUUUAAUGUGAGUAUUGUUAUGCGUUUACUUUUCUGCAUUGGCUAGAGGUAUAGGGGAGGGUUGAGAUCUCACAAACAUGUUUAACCCCGCCGCAUUUUUGCGCCUGUCCCAAGUCAGGAGCCUCUGGCCUUUGUUAGUCUUGUAUUAUUUUAACUUUUAGUUUCUUGUGUACAAUUUGGAGUUUAGUAUGGUGUUCAUUAUCACUGAACCAGUAUAUAUUUGUUUAGGGGCCAGCUGAAGGACGCCUCCGGGUGCGAGAAUUUCUCGUUGCAUUGAAGACCUGUUGGUGACCUUCUGCUGUUGUCUGCUCUAUGGUCGGGUUGUUGUCUCUUUGGCACAUUCCCCAUUUCCAU